RNAcentral lists this non-coding RNA (103 nucleotides) under human gut metagenome. RNAcentral describes it as "THF riboswitch". It matches the Rfam family "THF (Tetrahydrofolate) riboswitch aptamer". From Rfam's summary of the family: THF riboswitch presents a pseudoknot that joins P1-P2 and the loop of P3 and two THF binding. The record is from RNAcentral.
GCAGAGUAGGUCUGUGUGCGUUAAGUGCCAGCCGGACAGGGAGUUGCCGGCAGGACGAAAAGGAGAAGUUUCUUCUUGCGGUACACAAGCCGCAUCCCGCUGC